Molecule: non-coding RNA, 119 nt
Organism: Jatropha curcas
Lineage: Eukaryota; Viridiplantae; Streptophyta; Magnoliopsida; Malpighiales; Euphorbiaceae
Source: RefSeq, a predicted model, not a curated record
ACGCCCGGGUCCAUCCAGUGCUCCCUCAAGGACAACAUCAAAGCUGGAAUUUCGCUCUCUAUCACUGUACUAGGAAGCAGCUGAUUCGACUGAAGCUCUGCAAGUCUUCUCCGCAGAGU